GCUUUGCCUUAUUUAUAUGUUCCAUUGGCGGAUUUGUUACCUCAGAGCACUCCUACACACCAGGAAGAUGAUGCAUGCACGCAUGCCUUAGCUCUUGCCUUAGAAAAAGCCGUGAAGCUGAAAGGUGGUUCUGGUUCAAAACAGCAGCAUGUCCAUGGUUGCAGCCUUGUACGAGCAAAGAAAUUUUAUGUUUAUCAUUCAUCCGAAGAGCUAUUUGUGAAGAUUCACCUGUAUCCAAAGACUAUAUUAUAUCAUUAUCAUUAUUAUUUUUUGAAACAAAGAACAUUUUGUAUUCACAAGUUAGACUAGAUAUU
Hibiscus syriacus is the source of this 314-nucleotide long non-coding RNA. RefSeq lists it as uncharacterized. NCBI's taxonomy places the organism in Eukaryota, Viridiplantae, Streptophyta, Magnoliopsida, Malvales, Malvaceae. The record is from RefSeq and is a predicted model, not a curated record. The transcript has 3 exons.